Molecule: unclassified non-coding RNA, 3145 nt
Filed under: Hevea brasiliensis (rubber tree)
Lineage: Eukaryota; Viridiplantae; Streptophyta; Magnoliopsida; Malpighiales; Euphorbiaceae
Source: RNAcentral
UCAGUAAAGCCAUGGUUAUGGAAGAGAAUUUGUAUGAGGCCUUGGGUUGUUUUGUCUGACUUUGCUUCUUCAUCUUUCAAGAGCCAUAUCUGUUAGAUUUUUGUUUUGUGGAGCAUAAACAUCUGUUUGAAGAUUGAGAUUAUGGCAACUGUCUCAUUUUCUUUUGUGGAUUGAGAAUUUGAAAUGGAUUUUACAGAGUCCACUAAGGUUGUAUACAACAGAAUUCAGAAGCUAGACCCUGCAAAUGUGUCUAAGAUCAUUGGGUAUCUUCUGUUACAAGACCAUGGUGAACGAGAAAUGAUCCGGCUGGCUUUUAGCCCAGAUAAUUUGAUUUAUUCCUUGAUUACCAAAGCCAAGUCUGACCUUGGGCUAAACAAACCAGGAGUUUCUACUCCAAUCUCACCAUCUCAGGUGAAUUCAGUACCUGCUUUAGACAUCCCUUUACAAUUCACUCCCUUUUCACCAGCUUCUCCUCGCCCAGCUUCGUCUCCAGUAGCUUCACAUAGGGCUGUAAGCUCGUAUUGGGAUGCUCAAGUAAGUGUCGACCAGCAACAGGUGCAUAACUUGGACUUUGGCGCGCCGGGGUAUUCAGAGUCGGUUGCUAAAGAUUAUAGGCUUCCGAGCCAAAUGCAGUACCUGACUUUGGAUGAUCAGUUAGAGUUUGCUAAAUCUGUGAAUUCUGAUUUUUCUAGCAAUUACUUUUACCCAGAACCUGCAUUGGGUCCUAGGACUAAUAGAAGGUCUCCAAGUUUGCCUGAGUUACCUGUUAAAGUUUGUCAUUAUUUCAACAAGGGAUUCUGUAAACAUGGAAACAAUUGUAGGUAUUUCCAUGGCCAUCCAAUGUCAGAAAGCUUUUCUCAGAUUUUCAGCCCGAAAUCAAAUGAGAUUUCCAGCGAAGAACAUUUUGUCUUGCCAGGUUCCCUUGAAAAGCUUGAGAUGGAGAUUACUGAACUUCUGAGAUCAAGACGAGGAAUGCCUGUUUCGAUUGCCUCUUUGCCAAUUAUGUAUUAUGAGAAAUAUGGGAGGACCCUUCAGGCAGAAGGGUAUCUUACAGAAAGCCAGAGACAUGGUAAGACUGGUUAUAGUCUGACAAAGCUUUUAGCUCGAUUGAAGAACAGCAUUCGUGUCAUUGACAGGCCUCACGGGCAGCAUUCAGUGAUUCUGGCAGAAGAUGUUCCCAAAUGCUUUGAGUAUGCUGGUGAAAGAAAUGAUCCUGGUGGAAUUGUUGCUGGUUCUAGGCAGAUUUAUCUUACUUUUCCAGCGGAAAGUACCUUUACAGAGCAAGAUGUUUCCAACUACUUCAGCAAAUUUGGGCCUGUUCAAGAUGUUAGGAUUCCAUGCCAACAGAAGAGGAUGUUUGGAUUCGUCACUUUCAUUUUCGUAGAGACUGUCAAACAAAUAUUGGCAAAGGGGAAUCCUCAUUUUGUGUGCGGGGCUCGUGUUCUGGUGAAGCCCUAUAAGGAAAAGUCAAGGCUUGUUGAUAGAAAGUAUUCCGAGAAAAUACAGCCCUCAAUAUAUUAUGGCCCGCACUUCAUAGAUGGAGAUUCUGAGCUUCAUUCAAUGACAAAAGUUUAUGGUAAUUCAAGAAUUAUCAGGAAGCAGCUAAUGGAUGAACAAGAGCAUGCACUCGAACUUGAGACAAGGCGUCUCUCAGAGUUGAAUUUAGGUUCCAAAUCCCUCAAUCAUAACUCUUAUUUUGGCUCCUUAAUGGAUGAGUUGAAGUUGUCAGAAGAACAAGCAGAGUUCCCAUCUGCAGAGCGUUUCAAUUAUUUUCUCGAAGUUUUGAAUAACGGUUCCUCCAGCGAGGACAAACUCAAGCAUACAAGCACAAAUUACGGUGAUCAAGAUAGGUAUUAAAAUGCAUAUUCAUUCAUUUUUGUGCUACUAUAAGAGCUUAACAUUUGUGCAUGAAAAUAUCGGGUACAUUUCUGAUUCAGAUUUCUUUUUGAACACGUGAGCAGCCAAGGACUUAACCUUCCAGAAAGCCCCUUUGCAUCAAUAGGGAGUGGCAUUUCAAUGGUUAUAUAGAGAAAAUACAGUACAGACAUAAUUAUUAUAAAGGUAGAGAAGACCGUAUUCGAAGACCAUAUUUCAAGGGUAUGAUGAAACAGGAGUUUCUUCUUCUUUUUAAAUUUACCUCAACUUGAUCGACAGCUUCAUAGUCGUACAUACCCAACCGAAAAAAAAACUAGAUGAACUAAUUCUUCAUGUUACUUGUUGGUGGAGGAGAAUGCAAAGAAAACAGAAUACAGCAAAAGCUAAUAUGUUACAGGUUUCUAAGCUUCCUUUUUAUUUUUUUUGUUUUUUCCAUUUAAUGUAAUCACAGAAAAGCAAGCAAGCAAGCCAGAGAGCUUGUUGAUCUUUAGAAAGAACAUGUAAUAUAGAGUCGCCUUUUUAGUUAAAGAAGAAGGAAGUAGAAAAAUAUUGUGCAGAGUUCAGAGAAAAAAAAUGAUAAAAGUUGUAGAGCUUUCUGUCAACAUUGAGGAUUUAUUAUUAUUAUUAUAUAUUUUUUUUUAUCUCGAUAUCAGAUUUCAUCAGAUAACAGAGAAUAAAAGACAAGCAAGAUUCCCAGACAAAAAUCAGCAACCAUGACACUCAUUUAACCGUCCAAACAAGAAGUGCAGAAAGCUCAUGUUCCUCCCCAUUAAUAACCAGGAAUCACGGUUUCCUUUAUCACUGCACAAAAAAAAAGUAACCUGAAUUCACUGUGAGGAAUGUGAUCCACAAAAGAUUAAGCUCGUCUCCAAUCCCCCGAUAUCUAAUAAACAAACUAGCCAUAUUGCACUGAACUAAGUUACCAAGGUACAAUUGAAUCAAAUAAAUUGAAAUAUCUGCAAAACCAUAGUGAACUUAGUUGGAAGAGGGGGAAAAUUUUAGCAACAGGCAUACCUUAUUGAAAAGUCAUCUACAAUAUUUUCCUGACCUGACACAAGCAGAAAAAGGUGUAAGUACAAAGAUAAAGACUAAGAGAUAAUAGAUAGACACCUAUAUUUCUAGUUUUGAACAAGUAAAAAGUUACAAAGUCUAUGGUGGUGCAACAUUCAUAGCAACUAAAACAACAUUAAAUUCCUUAAAUUCCAAGGCAAUUUUAGACCAAUUAUUCGUGAAACAAAGACCUUACCAUGUAAAUCCAAAUGUCAUACAU